AACAAUGAAGUCAAAUGUCAAACAACGUUAUUAUAUGACAAACAAUCAAGAUUGAAUGCCGAGAAGCAUAUUGAUGAAUGGAUUGCAUAGACAAGCUAAUUCUUCCAUUUCAAGCUAAAGAGUGCGAAAUUCCAUUUUUAGUUUCUGAAAAAGCUUCAGGCUUUGUGAAGACAGUUGCAUAACACAUUACCCAUUUUGAAAAUCUUUCAGAUUUAGCAUUAGAUUGUAAACAAAUUGGUUUUGCUACAGCGAUUCAGUUCUCUUGUAAUUUUCAAUUCUCAAAAUGAUGGCUUAGCAUUUCUAAAAAAGGUACAACCUGCUUUCCCUAUGUCU
Molecule: long non-coding RNA, 333 nt
Filed under: Nicotiana benthamiana
Lineage: Eukaryota; Viridiplantae; Streptophyta; Magnoliopsida; Solanales; Solanaceae
Description: long non-coding RNA (NBEN_LNC022276)
Source: RNAcentral